AUUAUACCUAAAACUUCAAAUUUUAUAGUUCAGACCUAUGAAAGAGAUAGCUAAGUUUUGGAAACGCUUGCAAACUAAUUUUUUUAUAUUAGUGCGUGUUUAAUGCAAAUUAAAAACAAAAUUACCACCUAUCUCAUAGAAGAAGCUGAAAUUACCAACGGGAAUGCUGUAGCACAAGCUCCAGUAACAAAAGGCUGCUACUUAGCCACUGGAAGCAAAGAUCAAACCAUUCGAAUCUGGAGCUGUUCUAGAGGCCGAGGGGUGAUGAUUUUGAAAUUGCCCUUUCUGAAGAGAAGAGGAGGGGGUAUAGACCCAACUGUUAAAGAGCGCCUUUGGUUGACCCUCCAUUGGCCCAGCAAUCAGCCAACACAGCUGGUAUCUAGCUGUUUUGGAGGUGAACUGUUGCAAUGGGAUCUCACUCAAUCUUGGAGACGGAAAUACACCCUCUUCAGUGCCUCAUCAGAAGGGCAAAAUCAUUCAAGAAUUGUGUUUAAUUUAUGUCCUUUACAAACAGAGGAUGACAAACAGCUGUUACUUUCUACAUCAAUGGAUAGAGA
This 557-nucleotide small RNA is filed under the name Pongo abelii (Sumatran orangutan). Its description in RNAcentral is "retained intron". The record is from RNAcentral. Lineage: Eukaryota; Metazoa; Chordata; Mammalia; Primates; Hominidae.